GCACUGUAAGCUUGGGAAUCUCUAUGGUGACUCCUCGAUGUAGUGUUUGCCUCGGAUUUUAGAAUAGAAAAUCUGUUCAGCUUUAGCCCGGAACUGAGAUUUUAUCUGUAGUGUAUUUUCAUUUCUAUGACGAGAAUGUUGCCGGCUCAGGCGCGCUAAGCGGGCUCACUCUGGUGCAACGAGCUCCAGGAACGCCCACAGCCUGAUUUGUGCCACCUGCAGGCACAGCAUCGUAACUACAGCUGCAGUGAUUGUGCAGAUUGGAAACCUGGAUGACAGAAGCUUCGGUUCAAGACUCAGCAUUGCAUAUUAAUUCUCAGCUUCAUUUGUGAAGGAAAGAUAGCAGGGCACAGCAGAACCUGAAGAGCUUUUGGAAAGAACUUGCACUAGCCCUCCUGUUUUUGUUUGGCAAAAUCCUAUGAGCAGAUGACUCCCCACCCCACCAGCAGCAUGGAAUACACUGAGGCUACUGUUGAAGAAACAUCAGCUUUCUGUUGAUUCUUUGGAGGUAUGGAAUUUUCUGAAGUACUCACAAAACUCAUCUGUCACCAGGAAACAUUUGCUUCAAAGAAUGGAAAAACUCCAUGUAAAGGGAUGUACAUAUACACAGGGGUCUCCAAUGAACAAACGGGUAAGCCUGCUUGCGCAGGGGCAACAUGUAUUCAGUCAGAAUGUAUUGUAUGUUCUCAAAACUAA
Long non-coding RNA from Rhineura floridana, 696 nucleotides. RefSeq lists it as uncharacterized. NCBI's taxonomy places the organism in Eukaryota, Metazoa, Chordata, Lepidosauria, Squamata, Rhineuridae. The transcript has 3 exons. The record is from RefSeq and is a predicted model, not a curated record.